UGUAAAUCACUGAUCUAAAAAAAACUGGAUCGCGCAUCUAUUGUUCUAAAAGUGCGGCCGCUGAGAAAUCGCAGCGGCCAUGCUCUUGUGACCACUUUUGCAGACUUGUGGUCUUGUUUACUACGAGGAAAUGCCGGUUCGGACAAGUAAAGUCGAAGUUUCUGUCGUCAAAUAGUGGCAAAGAAUAAAGUGCAAUGGAAUGGCUUGACAGCUAUUGAGGGAUACAAUCAUAUAUAGUUUACUGAGCUAGAACUUCAUAAGUAACAGAUAUUACAAUGAAUAGUAAUUAAAAGAUUGUGACUUUGUUUCAAAUGAAUUUUAAGAUUGUGAUUUAAAAA
Rhopilema esculentum is the source of this 338-nucleotide non-coding RNA. NCBI's taxonomy places the organism in Eukaryota, Metazoa, Cnidaria, Scyphozoa, Rhizostomeae, Rhizostomatidae. The record is from RefSeq and is a predicted model, not a curated record.